ACUUUCAGUCAGUGAGGUAAGGUGGAUAUGUUAAUAGUCAUAUUCAUUUGACGUUAGCUGCAGAAGAAGCACCGGCUAACUCCGUGCCAGCAGCGCGGUAAUACGGAGGGUGCGAGCGUUUAAUCGGAAUUACUGGGCGUAAAGCGCAUGCAGGUGGUUUGUUAAGUCAGAUGUGAAAGCCCGGGGCUCAACCUCGGAAUUGCAUUUUGAAACUGGCAAACUAGAGUACUGUAGAGGGGGGUAGAAUUUCAGGUGUAGCGGUGAAAUGCGUAGAGAUCUGAAGGAAUACCGGUGGCGAAGGCGGCCCCCUGGACAGAUACUGACACUCAGAUGCGAAAGCGUGGGGAGCAAACAGGAUUAGAUACCCUGGUAG
RNAcentral lists this ribosomal RNA (373 nucleotides) under uncultured bacterium. RNAcentral's name for it is "bacterial SSU rRNA". It matches the Rfam family "Bacterial small subunit ribosomal RNA", at positions 432 to 793 of the family's 1533-position model. The record is from RNAcentral.